CCAAAGGCUCUUUUCAGAGCCACCCACAUUUCCUAAAAAGUGCUGG
Molecule: non-coding RNA, 46 nt
Organism: Ictidomys tridecemlineatus (thirteen-lined ground squirrel)
Lineage: Eukaryota; Metazoa; Chordata; Mammalia; Rodentia; Sciuridae
Source: Rfam